This is a long non-coding RNA of Mesocricetus auratus (golden hamster), 1129 nucleotides long. RefSeq lists it as uncharacterized. The record is from RefSeq and is a predicted model, not a curated record. The transcript has 2 exons. Lineage: Eukaryota; Metazoa; Chordata; Mammalia; Rodentia; Cricetidae.
CUGGUUCUGGUCCUCGUGUUUAACCCAGCAACAAAAUGCUAACCAGGACGGUGAGCGUUUGGAGAGAGGGAGGCAAGAAACACAGCUUCCUGCAGUCGAAUGCAGUACCCCGAGGAAUUCCCCCCACUUUCGGGGACCUCAACUCAGGCCGAACAGCAUAGACGGGCUCAAACUCGGUUCCUUGGGCUCCCUGGGAAUGCCUUUAUGAGCUCAGUCAUCCAGCGGACCCAGAUGUUGUGGACUGCACUGGAAUUCCAGCUUCUCAGCUCACAGGAGGCUUCACCAGACUCCAGGGAGGGCUCCCCCUCUGUCUACCCGGGUAAUAACUGAUAACUGGGCAGGACUUAGGAUCACCCAGGAGACACAUUUCUGACCACGCCUGGAGGAUUUCUAAAUUGGGUGAACCGGUGUGACCCACCACGAGUGUAGAUCGCACUCUAGCAAAUCUGUGCAGCUGGGCGUCCUUCACAUGCACGCGCUGUGGGCGGGGCCACCAAGGCCUGUAAAGUCCUGUGUGCACAGACCGGGCCCUCUCUACGGUGUCCACUGGAGGGCAGCACCUUCUCCACAAAGGCGGCUGAGUCGGCUGCCCCUCCCUCCAGCCUCUGGCCUGACCUUGUUUGUACAGCUACCCUGAGCCUUUCAGAAGAUUCUGGCUCUGGUGACAGGAGCACGCACUGGGUGUGCUCUGGAAGAGCCCUGGCUAUUUCUGAAGGACGGCCAGCUUCUCAAGGGCUCUCAGUCCCUAUUGCGCUACCCACAGGCAGCUCUGAACACUGAAACCUCAGGGCCUGCCUGCGCCCUCCUGGCUCCUGUCCCCCAGGCUGUCCCCUUGGAGGAGGAGGUAGCCUGGUGACUUUCUCCCCUCUGAUUGAAUGAAACUGGUUUCCUGACUUUAAAGGACUUGACUCCCAGACGCCCCUGCGAGAACAUUUUUCAGAAAACAAAGUUGACCUCAGAAAUUUGGUUUGAAAAUAAGUGUUAUCCUCAAAUUACCAGCAGAAAUCCCCCACCCCACCCCACCCCACCCCACCCUGGCCCUCGUUUGGGUUGUUUUCAAACAAUUUCUGCUAUGAUGUUUGUAACAGGGAAGGCGAGAAUCAUAAAUUAGCAAGUUAUAGCACCAUUA